GUAGUCCACGCCGUAAACGAUGAACACUAGGUGUGGGCGGAGUCGAAUCUGUCCGUGCCGCAGCCAACGCGUUAAGUGUUCCGCCUGGGGAGUACGGCCGCAAGGCUAAAACUCAAAAGAAUUGACGGGGGCCCGCACAAGCAGCGGAGCAUGUUCUUUAAUUCGAUGCAACGCGAAGAACCUUACCUGGGCUUGACAUGGUGGUCGUACCUGCGGAAACGUAGGGUCGGUUCGGCCGGACCAUCACAGAUGCUGCAUGGCUGUCGUCAGCUCGUGUCGUGAGAUGUUGGGUUAAG
This 296-nucleotide ribosomal RNA is filed under the name uncultured bacterium. RNAcentral's name for it is "partial 16S ribosomal RNA". It matches the Rfam family "Bacterial small subunit ribosomal RNA", at positions 790 to 1084 of the family's 1533-position model. The record is from RNAcentral.